Molecule: long non-coding RNA, 482 nt
Organism: Myiozetetes cayanensis
Lineage: Eukaryota; Metazoa; Chordata; Aves; Passeriformes; Tyrannidae
Exons: 3
Source: RefSeq, a predicted model, not a curated record
CCUUCAAGAAAAGGAAGGAGGAAAUAACAUCUUACCUUUCAAAACUAAUUUGUUUCACAUUGCUUCAUGGUGGCACCAUCGUACUGCAAGAACUGAAAAGAUAAGGCAAAGAAAAGUCAGUUGACUGAGUUUUCCAUGCAACUCUAAGAAGAAUCAAGUUUCUUCUGGCUCACCAGAGACAAAGGCAUACAUACAAAGUUUUUGAAAGAGCAUACACUGCAGUGGAAGCUGGAUGCUACCAGCCCAAGGAAGAAGAAGUCCUUGUUUCUCAGGAAGAGAAGAACACAUAAAACCAGUGUAAUUCUUGUGUUUUCUGUUGAUCUUUUCACUAUAUUGCAAAGGAAGACAUAAUAGCAACCAUCUGUGCAGCAAGAAGGACCUUAUUUCUUUUACAGGUGUAACACAAAGAAAAUAAGUCAUUACAAGCCUUGGUGAUAUUUCCAACUCUUUCUAGGCCUAAAAAGCAAGAUACUUACUUAAAU